Molecule: long non-coding RNA, 2819 nt
Organism: Cyprinus carpio (common carp)
Lineage: Eukaryota; Metazoa; Chordata; Actinopteri; Cypriniformes; Cyprinidae
Exons: 5
Source: RefSeq, a predicted model, not a curated record
AAACCGCAAGUGCGACAGCACAAAAACACCAAAAAAAAAUCAGCAUCACGCAUGAUGACACCAUAAAAACUUUCAGUAUGAUCGUGACUGCUGCUCUGUUCUGAUCAAGUCAGGACUGAAGAGCCCCGUGUGGAGAAGAGAGUCUUGAGUUCAGGUGUGUCUUCAGCUGCUGUAGCAGGAAUAUGUGCUGCUGUUCUGCUGCUGGUGACUGCUGUAAGCUGCUGCUGCUGUGAUUUACUAUCGCCAGAAGAUCUCCAAAAAUGCAGAAAGGGAGAAAAACAUGUAUAAAGGAUUGCCCACAGAUGAGACAACCCCAAAAGUGUGAUUAUAAAAUGAGAAAAAAAUGCUGCAGAAACAAUCUUCACUGCGACUUUGAAAAAUUUUAGCAUGGAUGCAAAUUUAGAAGAACGUAUCAUUCUGGGUUUUGUUUAACUUGAGAAGACACUAAUUGCAACACUGGAAAACACUAAUUGUUAGGCCGUAUGAGUGAGUUUUCUUUUUGGUGAAAACAACUUAUUCAUUUAUAAUCAUGUAAUCAUUUAAUCAUGGUUAUGUCAUUGUUUUUCGGGCUCUUACUGUGAUUUCUAUUGUUUUAUCUUCCAAUCGCAUGGUUUCCAUGGGGGAUUUGUUUUCAAGAGUAGGACAUUGGUAGGGCUUUGGUUAUAACGUUGCUUGUAAAAUUUUGUGCUGGUCAGAGGAGGAAGUAGGGAUGAAGUACAGGCGAAGUCUGGGCAUUGAAAAUGUGUGCAAUUACAAUUAGUUAUUAUGCCAUCUGUUAACUGUGACACUAGCAGUAAAAUGAGUUCAUUUAGCAAAUGUUUUUAAACAAAUGUAGCAGAUGAGCAUCAUAAGCACUUUAUGACAAUAAUUAUUAAAAUAAGAUGAAGGACAGAUACUGUUGCUUACAGGUAGGGCUGUUGCAAUAACCGCAAUAUGUAAUACCGCGCUAUUGACGAACAAACCGCAGCGGUAUGCAAACCGUGGUUUCUGCGUGUUUUCUUUUUUCAUGUAUGCUCAUCUUGUUUUAUACUUUGUGCAUGUCUACUGAAUAUUCAAUAUGUUAGUAAUAAUAACAUAAUGUGUACCAUGCUGAUUUAUUCAGAUGCUCUGUAUAAUUGCACUUGACUAUAAACCAGACAGCGAAUGAGAGAGAGCAUGUGCGAUAACUUGCAAUUCAUAUAUGUUUGUGAAAAUAGGUUGUCAAUGUCCAAGGAAAGCAAAAUCUCUGUCUUAGCAUCGAUGCAGUCUUCUAAAGUGAUGCCCAAAGUUAAAAAUGAUUUCAACAGCGCGUUUUAAUGCAUCUCUCUUUGCAUGAAUCUGUGUUUUGAAUAGGUGAACGGUUUUAAAGACUCACUCAAACACAGUCCCUUGCCGCCACCUUGUGGAACAACAAUGUAACUGCAUGGACUGACAGCCAGUCUAGAAAGCUGCACAGGUGGAAAUAUCAAUAAAAGUCUAGUCAGAUUCGAAGAUCAGAAGUAAUUGUUAUACAUAUUGGCUAGCAAUAGCCCUAACAAUCUUAUUGUCCAUGUUUAUGUUCUUUUAGGUGGGACCGUUAUUUUUGUCAUUCUCUUUUGUUCACUUCACUUCUUGUUUAAACACUAUUUGGUUACGGUUUCACUGGUUUCUGAAUAUGAUUUCAUUAUAUUGUAACACAUACACUCACACUUAUAAUAUAUGGUGAUAAUUCUGCAUAUCACGCUAUUUGAGACACUCAAAAUUACUGCAAGGUAAAAUCAUUCACUGCGACAACCCUAUUUACAGCUCAACAGAACAGAUUAAAGUUUUGGAGGAGGGAAAUCAUUUUUAGAAAUCCGGAUGAUGCAGCUGUUACUGUUACUUCUAUUUAUACCUCAGAGGUUGAAAUGUAAUGUCUGUAAUGUUACUCAAUAUUUGGAAGUCCAUUCUGGCAUUCCCAUUCAUUUUCUCCAUUGAGAAACUGAUUAAAUGAUUCUGUAUAAACCACAGACCUGUAAGCAGCACUGGGGAGAUUACUUGCAAAGUGUAGUUACUUAUUACAAAUUACAUGAAGAAAACUGCAGUUUGUAAUGUAAGCUUGAUUAUUUAUUUUAGGCAAUGUAUUCUGACUACUUUAAGAUUCAUUUUGAAUCAACUUGUUAAAAGUCUCAGGGGAUUUCAACUAAAUAUUUUAGGUCGAAGGGGUUUAUCUGAAAGAAAAAAAAAAAGUUUUAGGAAUUCCUGCAUUACUUGAAAGCAGCAAUGACAGCAAUGAGUGUGAGUAAUAUGUAAUAUUAUCAUAAAAACUGUACUCUGAUUAUGAGGAUUUUAAAAUGUAAUAUAAUUACAAGUACAGUUUUUGGAAUCUGAUUAUGUAAUCCAGAUUACAUGAAAAAAUUACAAGAAAAAUAAAUUAGAGAAGCAUGGCAAGUUUUGCAUCACAGGUUAAUUAUAUGUUCUUUUACAGUAUGUACAGUAGGUCUUGUUUUGCUUGUACAAAUGUUUUUAUUUUCCUCCUUCAAAUCAAAAGUUUGUAAUGUUGUAGUUCAUCUGUAUACAUAUGCUUUCAGGAGAAACAUUUUUUUUUUUUUUUUUUUUUUUUUUUUUGACAUCAUUAUGGAGAAAGAAACUGAAUGGGACAAAUAUCUUCCAGAACAAAAAUUACUCUGUCACUGUUUGUGUUGUAUUAUUAAAUUUAUUUAUGCAUGAGAAAGAUGAUAAAUGUCUGUGUAUAAUAAAACAACUAUCGUCAUCUUCAGAUUUCCUGCAGUUUGCUGUCACUGCUGGUUUUAUUAUUGAAUUGUAUUUUGGUGUAUUUUCAUUUCAUUAGAUAUAUAAUAAAUAACUGUAUGAUUCAAUUA